This is a non-coding RNA of Caerostris darwini, 93 nucleotides long. Lineage: Eukaryota; Metazoa; Arthropoda; Arachnida; Araneae; Araneidae. The record is from the annotation of a GenBank genome assembly.
CUGAAUAUAUCGAUUCUCAUUCAAUCACCGAAGUCAAGCACCAUCGGACUCGGUCAGUACUAGGGAGGGUGACCACCUGGGAACAUCUCGUGC